GGCUUGUCCAAGGGUAGAGAGUUUUCCCAAUUGAUUGUUCACAGUCAGUUAAAGAUAAGACUCCUUGUUCUACUCUUUCUCCUUUCCCACUACUGCACUUGACUAGUCUUUU
This is a Y RNA of Callithrix jacchus (white-tufted-ear marmoset), 112 nucleotides long. It matches the Rfam family "Y RNA". Rfam says of the family: Y RNAs are components of the Ro ribonucleoprotein particle (Ro RNP), in association with Ro60 and La proteins. The record is from Ensembl. Lineage: Eukaryota; Metazoa; Chordata; Mammalia; Primates; Cebidae.